Molecule: long non-coding RNA, 443 nt
Filed under: Nicotiana benthamiana
Lineage: Eukaryota; Viridiplantae; Streptophyta; Magnoliopsida; Solanales; Solanaceae
Description: long non-coding RNA (NBEN_LNC015780)
Source: RNAcentral
UUUUAAAAUUUUAUCCUCCAGAAUGCGUCCGUUUAAUGUGGUUCAAUAAAAGUUUUGGAUUAAGCAGGGCGAUUAAAUAUUGAAUGUAUUUUAUGCAGGUAUCUUUCUUCAUAGUGUUGAUAGAUAUAAUGAAGAAAAUGAGCAUCAAGUUAGUAUUGCUGAUAGAUCAAACACAAUUCCACUUCUUGAGGAGAAAUCUGCUGAAACAAGUCCAAGUCUCUGCUGAUUCCUAGUUUACACUUAAACAAAUGAAAUGUGAAUUUCUUGUAUUAUUAUCUUUUUUGUACCUGCUGAAACAAGUCCAAGCCUCUGCUGAUUCCCAGUUUACAGUUAAACAAAUGAAAUGUGAAUUUCUUGUAUUAUUAUAUUGUUUGUAAAUUGGAAACAGCCUCUCUGCCCUUUCGGGUAGGGGUAAGGCCCGUCUACAUAUUACCCUCCCNNNN